This 76-nucleotide small nucleolar RNA is filed under the name Fukomys damarensis (Damara mole-rat). RNAcentral's name for it is "Small nucleolar RNA U3". It matches the Rfam family "Small nucleolar RNA U3", at positions 1 to 76 of the family's 219-position model. Rfam says of the family: Small nucleolar RNAs (snoRNAs) are involved in the processing and modification of rRNA in the nucleolus. There are two main classes of snoRNAs: the box C/D class, and the box H/ACA class. The record is from Rfam by way of RNAcentral. Lineage: Eukaryota; Metazoa; Chordata; Mammalia; Rodentia; Bathyergidae.
AAGGCUAUACUUUCAGGGAUCAUUUCUAUAGUUGGUUACUGGAGAAGUUUCUCUGAUCAUGUAGAGUACCAGGAAU